This 315-nucleotide long non-coding RNA is filed under the name Chrysemys picta bellii (western painted turtle). Its description in RNAcentral is "lncRNA (ENSCPBG00000010474.1)". Lineage: Eukaryota; Metazoa; Chordata; Testudines; Emydidae. The record is from RNAcentral.
GGAAGGUGAAGCCGUGUGAGCUUCUUGCCCUGAAGACAGUCUGCUCCAUGGAAGAGGAGGCUCCCCAAAGUCCUGCCUGGCUUUGUGGGGAGCAGUUCCAGAGCAUCGCCCGGGGACUCCCUGACACCGUUUGCCCCAACAUCACGACUGGAAGCCUGCGUCGGAGGAGGGGGACAGGAUGGAGGAGAAUUUUUCCUGCCAAGUCAAGAAGAUGGCGCUGGCCUUGGGAACGUCUCUGACGGACAAGGAUAUUGACCUGCUGCCCUCGGAGAUGAGACAUCAUGGUACGGAGGGGCCGGGCCCUACCCGCCCUGG